This is a small nucleolar RNA of Pongo abelii (Sumatran orangutan), 135 nucleotides long. The record is from Ensembl. NCBI's taxonomy places the organism in Eukaryota, Metazoa, Chordata, Mammalia, Primates, Hominidae.
UCAUGGGUUUAGAUUUAUGACAGGCCUGUCCACCUGGGCCUCUCAUAGUACACCUGCCAGAGCAAACUGUGUCCCUGAACCAAUCCCUGGCCUCUGUGCCCAUAGGCUGCUGGCACUGAAGUGGGUUACACAGUA